CUCUUUCUCCUCGUCAAACU
This 20-nucleotide non-coding RNA is filed under the name Rattus norvegicus (Norway rat). The record is from RNAcentral. Lineage: Eukaryota; Metazoa; Chordata; Mammalia; Rodentia; Muridae.